RNAcentral lists this ribosomal RNA (484 nucleotides) under uncultured Aquiflexum sp. Its description in RNAcentral is "bacterial SSU rRNA". It matches the Rfam family "Bacterial small subunit ribosomal RNA", at positions 8 to 491 of the family's 1533-position model. The record is from RNAcentral. Lineage: Bacteria; Pseudomonadati; Bacteroidota; Cytophagia; Cytophagales; Cyclobacteriaceae.
AGAGUUUGAUCAUGGCUCAGGAUGAACGCUAGCGGCAGGCCUAAUACAUGCAAGCUGAACGGCAAGAUUUUUAGCAAUAGAGAUCCUAGAGUAGCGUAAGGGUGCGUAACACGUAUGCAAUCUACCCACAACAGGAGGAUAGCUCCCCGAAAGGGGAAUUAAGACUCCAUAAUAUCGUUGAUUGGCAUCAAUUGAUGAUUAAAGUACAAGCGGUUGUGGAUGAGCAUGCGUCUGAUUAGUUAGUUGGCGGGGUAACGGCCCACCAAGACGAUGAUCAGUAGGGGAACUGAGAGGUUGGUCCCCCACACUGGCACUGAGAUACGGGCCAGACUCCUACGGGAGGCAGCAGUAGGGAAUAUUGGACAAUGGGUGCAAGCCUGAUCCAGCCAUGCCGCGUGCAGGAAGAAAGCCUUCUGGGUUGUAAACUGCUUUUUUCGGGGGAUAAAAUACUCGUGCGCGAGGAAUGAAAGUACCCGAGAAUAGC